RNAcentral lists this ribosomal RNA (253 nucleotides) under uncultured bacterium. RNAcentral describes it as "partial 16S ribosomal RNA". It matches the Rfam family "Bacterial small subunit ribosomal RNA", at positions 524 to 776 of the family's 1533-position model. The record is from RNAcentral.
UACAGAGGUCCCAAGCGUUGUUCGGAUUCACUGGGCGUAAAGGGUGCGUAGGCGGUCGGGUAAGUCUGAUGUGAAAUCUCCAAGCUUAACUUGGAAAUGGCAUCGGAUACUAUUCGGCUCGAGGAAUGGAGGGGAGACUGGAAUACUUGGUGUAGCAGUGAAAUGCGUAGAUAUCAAGUGGAACACCAGUGGCGAAGGCGAGUCUCUGGACAUUUCCUGACGCUGAGGCACGAAGGCCAGGGGAGCAAACGGG